AAAUCCCCUUUUGCCUAAGGUGCCCUUUGCGGGUUUUCCCCUUAGCCUCUCCAUUUUUACUAUUUCAUUUUUCAUUUUUCAUUUUUGUUUUUCAUCUUUUUUUUUGCCCUUUGCGGGUUUUCCCCUUAGCCUCUCCAUUUUUACUAUUUCAUUUUUUAUUUUUCAUUUUCGUUUUUCAUCUUUUUUUUUGUUUUUUUAUUCUUGAAAUCCAUUGUCUUGCAGUACGGUGACAAAUUGUGAUGUCUGAUUUUGAACUGAUUACAGCCCUCAGCUAUCGUGCUGUCAUUCAAGUUCAAUACAAUUUCCAAUACCAUCCUCUCUGGAGUUCUAUAUCGGCAUAUGAUGACAUUGACGCAUGCAGUAGCCUCUAUCCAUUUGAUGAAGUAAUUAAUGAUCUCAAUAGUGAAGCAGUGCCCAUUAGAAGUCUUCAAUAAUGAUGAUGUUCAUGCCCCAUUUUACUCGAAAUUUGAG
Molecule: long non-coding RNA, 471 nt
Filed under: Gossypium raimondii (Peruvian cotton)
Lineage: Eukaryota; Viridiplantae; Streptophyta; Magnoliopsida; Malvales; Malvaceae
Description: long non-coding RNA (GRAI_LNC011178)
Source: RNAcentral